CUAUUGUCACACCUCCUUUUUACCUAUAGACGCAAGGGGUGUAAAGGAGUUUUUCAAUUAAAGGACAAUCGAAACAGGAUUUAAUUAUCAAAGAUUUAGAGUCGCCACUUGGGAGAUUAAUGGUGUCCUAAGUCAUCGAUUGAAUCCCGAGUCGAGGAAAUUAUUGACUCAAUUUAACAGUCCGCGAACCAGAAAUCCGAGUAAGGAAUUCUAUUAACCCGGGAGAAGGUGUUAAACAUUUUCGUAGUUCAAUGGUUCUGACACGGUCGCUCAACUAUCAUAUUUGGUUUAUUUAUUUGAUUUUAAUACAUGUUUUAAUAUAUAUGCUUUUUAACUUUAAACCACUUUUAUUAUUAUUAUUUUUAA
RNAcentral lists this long non-coding RNA (366 nucleotides) under Nicotiana benthamiana. RNAcentral describes it as "long non-coding RNA (NBEN_LNC032689)". The record is from RNAcentral. Lineage: Eukaryota; Viridiplantae; Streptophyta; Magnoliopsida; Solanales; Solanaceae.